This 565-nucleotide ribosomal RNA is filed under the name uncultured bacterium. Its description in RNAcentral is "bacterial SSU rRNA". It matches the Rfam family "Bacterial small subunit ribosomal RNA", at positions 338 to 917 of the family's 1533-position model. The record is from RNAcentral.
CCUACGGGAGGCAGCAGUGGGGAAUUUUCCGCAAUGGGCGAAAGCCUGACGGAGCAACGCCGCGUGAGGGAUGAAGGCCUCUGGGCUGUAAACCUCUUUUCUCAAGGAAGAAGAUCUGACGGUACUUGAGGAAUAAGCCACGGCUAAUUCCGUGCCAGCAGCCGCGGUAAUACGGGAGUGGCAAGCGUUAUCCGGAAUUAUUGGGCGUAAAGCGUCCGCAGGCGGCCCUUCAAGUCUGCUGUUAAAAAGUGGAGCUUAACUCCAUCAUGGCAGUGGAAACUGUUGGGCUUGAGUGUGGUAGGGGCAGAGGGAAUUCCCGGUGUAGCGGUGAAAUGCGUAGAUAUCGGGAAGAACACCAGUGGCGAAGGCGCUCUGCUGGGCCAUAACUGACGCUCAUGGACGAAAGCCAGGGGAGCGAAAGGGAUUAGAUACCCCUGUAGUCCUGGCCGUAAACGAUGAACACUAGGUGUCGGGGGAAUCGACCCCCUCGGUGUCGUAGCCAACGCGUUAAGUGUUCCGCCUGGGGAGUACGCACGCAAGUGUGAAACUCAAAGGAAUUGACGGA